Molecule: transfer RNA, 51 nt
Filed under: Pomphorhynchus rocci
Lineage: Eukaryota; Metazoa; Acanthocephala; Palaeacanthocephala; Echinorhynchida; Pomphorhynchidae
Description: tRNA-His
Source: RNAcentral
UCAGAUGGGGCUGGUUAGCAUCUUAUUGUGGUUAAGAGGGGCAAAUUUGAA